This 71-nucleotide transfer RNA is filed under the name Camelus bactrianus (Bactrian camel). It matches the Rfam family "tRNA". Rfam says of the family: Transfer RNA (tRNA) molecules are approximately 80 nucleotides in length. Their secondary structure includes four short double-helical elements and three loops (D, anti-codon, and T loops). RNAcentral also lists the same sequence under 2 other names. Lineage: Eukaryota; Metazoa; Chordata; Mammalia; Artiodactyla; Camelidae. The record is from Rfam by way of RNAcentral.
GAGGGUAUAGCUCAGUGGUAGAGCGCGUGCUUAGCGUACACAGGUCCUGGGUUCAAUCCCCAGCACUUCCA